This 1083-nucleotide long non-coding RNA is filed under the name Fukomys damarensis (Damara mole-rat). Its description in RNAcentral is "lncRNA (ENSFDAG00000024480.1)". The record is from RNAcentral. Lineage: Eukaryota; Metazoa; Chordata; Mammalia; Rodentia; Bathyergidae.
AUCCUUAUUUCAAUAUUUGUUACAUUCAUUACAGCACCGGGGACGACUGACCUUUACCUGGGAACGUUGAUUCUUGGACUGUUAGCUUUUGUUUCCCUAAAGCAAGUAAUCACUUGAAUUCCCUGGCAUUGCUCUCUGACAUGAAGCUCGUGGGGUGGCAAUGUGGGGGAGGUUAAUGCCUUCGCCGGCUGACGACUGGGCCCGAGCUGGCCGGGUCUGUGAGCCUAGAAGCCUGGCUGGCCAACACAAACAUGCUGAUUCCCCUGAACUCAUUAAAAGGGGUUUGGUUGGGUUAGAGAGAAUUCCAAUGAUUGCUCCUGGAAACACGACCAGGCCUCACAGUUCCGAUGUGUCACAAAGGCCUGGAAACAAAGUGUAGCCCUGCCUUCCUGAAGGAAUUUGAAGUGAUAUAGAUUUGAACUAUUUGGCACAAAAGACUUUCAUGUUGGGCAGGCUGACCAGUACCUGGGACACAAAGAAGGAUGUGAGUCAUCCCUGCCCAAUGUAUCCAUGCUGUAUACAUCGCCUGCCCAUGAAUUGCUUAGAAGACAUCUUGGACAUCAGAUUCGCCAUCACACUUGCGUUCCAGUUACUUUCACUUUACUAAUAAAGGCCCCACUCCACAAGAGCAAUGAGGCUUCACGCUAUGCCACAGAGAAGCUGAAGUGCUUCCUUUUACUGAAAAGAUACUGUGUACCACAGCUAAUGGGACUGCCAGACCUGGGAGGGCGAGUGAGGCCUCGAUCGUCUGCAGCUGCACCCUCUCCUGGAGGGGGCUCCACAGGCAUUGUGUCGGCAAAGCAGUGUCCACUGGAAUGGCACUGGGGUGUGGCUCUUAGUGCACAGUCAGGGCCCCGCCUAUGUGUGAUCAAGGAAAUCUCUGGGUCUCUUUCAAUACAAGGAUGGAACAGUAUGCUGCAUAAUUGCCUUUUCUCACUGGGCUUUUGGUACACAUGCUCAGGUGAAUAUAUGUAUUCUCAGUAGAAACCACUAUGGAUUGUACAAUGGAGAACAAUGGAAAAGGAAGAUUUAUUUAACUCUUCAUUGCUUGAGAAGAUACUAAAGGAUGCUAGGAUGGGGGAG